GUGUCAGCAGCCGCGGUAAUACGUAGGGGGCGAGCGUUGUCCGGAAUCAUUGGGCGUAAAGCGCGUGUAGGCGGCGCGGUAAGUCUGGUGUGAAAUCUUGGGGCUCAACCCCAAGCGUGCAUCGGAUACUGCCGUGCUCGAGUCCGGGAGAGGGAAGCGGAAUUCCUAGUGUAGCGGUGAAAUGCGCAGAUAUUAGGAAGAACACCGGUGGCGAAGGCGGCUUCCUGGAACGGUACUGACGCUGAGACGCGAAAGCGUGGGGAGCGAACAGGAUUAGAUACCCUCGUAGUCC
This 292-nucleotide ribosomal RNA is filed under the name uncultured bacterium. RNAcentral's name for it is "partial 16S ribosomal RNA". It matches the Rfam family "Bacterial small subunit ribosomal RNA", at positions 505 to 796 of the family's 1533-position model. The record is from RNAcentral.